AAAUCCUCAGGGAAUUGUAAUUUGAAGGUGGUCUCAGUUAGUUCAAACAUUCUUAAGUCCAUUGGAAAAUGGCGCCAUGGAGGGUGAUAGCCCCGUAAAGAAUCCGUUUGCUCUAUUUUCUUUGACCACCAAAGAGUCGAGUUGUUUGGGAAUGCAGCUCUAAGUGGGUGGUAAAUUCCAUCUAAAGCUAAAUAUUGGCGAGAGACCGAUAGCGAACAAGUACAGUGAUGGAAAGAUGAAAAGCACUUUGAAAAGAGAGUGAAAAAGUACGUGAAAUUGUUGAAAGGGAAGGGCUUGCAAGCAGACACAACCUUUUGGUUGGGCCAGCAUCGGGGCGAGGGGAAGGAAAAAAGAUAAGGAAAUGUAGCUCUCGAGUAUUAUAGACCUUUUCCACAACUUCCAUCU
Molecule: ribosomal RNA, 405 nt
Filed under: Metschnikowia bicuspidata
Lineage: Eukaryota; Fungi; Ascomycota; Pichiomycetes; Serinales; Metschnikowiaceae
Description: eukaryotic LSU rRNA
Rfam family: Eukaryotic large subunit ribosomal RNA
Source: RNAcentral